AGUGAACGCUGGCGGUAGGCCUAACACAUGCAAGUCGAACGGCAGCACAGUAAGAGCUUGCUCUUACGGGUGGCGAGUGGCGGACGGGUGAGGUAUAUAUCGGAAUCUACUUUUUCGUGGGGGAUAACGUAGGGAAACUUACGCUAAUACCGCAUACGACCUACGGUUGAAAGCAUGGGUUCUUCUGAUCUUUCGCGUUUGUAUGAGCCGAUGUCGGAUUAGCUUGUUGGCGGGGUAAAGGCCCACCAAGGCGACGAUCCGUAGCUGGUCUGAGAGGAUGAUCAGCCAAAGUGGAAGUGAGACACGGACCAGACGCCUACGGGAGGAAGCAGUGGGGAAUAUUGGACAAAGGGCGCAAGCAUGAUCCAGCAAUACCGCGUGGGUGAAGAAGGCCUUCGGGUUGUAAAGACCUUUUGUUGGGAAAGAAAAGCAGCAGGUUAAAACCCCGAUGUUCUGACGGUACCCAAAGAAUAAGCACCGGCUAACUUCGUG
This 492-nucleotide ribosomal RNA is filed under the name uncultured bacterium. Its description in RNAcentral is "partial 16S ribosomal RNA". It matches the Rfam family "Bacterial small subunit ribosomal RNA", at positions 29 to 507 of the family's 1533-position model. The record is from RNAcentral.